This 398-nucleotide ribosomal RNA is filed under the name uncultured bacterium. Its description in RNAcentral is "partial 16S ribosomal RNA". It matches the Rfam family "Bacterial small subunit ribosomal RNA", at positions 523 to 918 of the family's 1533-position model. The record is from RNAcentral.
AUACGUAGGGUGCGAGCGUUGUCCGGAAUUACUGGGCGUAAAGAGCUCGUAGGUGGUUUGUCGCGUCGUCUGUGAAAUUCCGGGGCUUAACUCCGGGCGUGCAGGCGAUACGGGCAUAACUUGAGUACUGUAGGGGAGACUGGAAUUCCUGGUGUAGCGGUGAAAUGCGCAGAUAUCAGGAGGAACACCGGUGGCGAAGGGGGGUCACUGGGCAGUAACUGACGCUGAGGAGCGAAAGCAUGGGUAGCGAACAGGAUUAGAUACCCUGGUAGUCCAUGCCGUAAACGGUGGGCGCUAGGUGUAGGGGUCUUCCACGACUUCUGUGCCGUAGCUAACGCAUUAAGCGCCCCGCCUGGGGAGUACGGCCGCAAGGCUAAAACUCAAAGGAAUUGACGGGG